UACAGAGGUGGCAAGCGUUGUUCGGAAUUACUGGGCGUAAAGCGUGCGCAGGCGGUUGUGUAAGACAGGUGUGAAAUCCCCGGGCUUAACCUGGGAAUGGCAUUUGUGACUGCACGGCUAGAGUGUGUCAGAGGGGGGUAGAAUUCCACGUGUAGCAGUGAAAUGCGUAGAGAUGUGGAGGAAUACCGAUGGCGAAGGCAGCCCCCUGGGAUAACACUGACGCUCAUGCACGAAAGCGUGGGGAGCAAACAGG
This 253-nucleotide ribosomal RNA is filed under the name uncultured bacterium. Its description in RNAcentral is "partial 16S ribosomal RNA". It matches the Rfam family "Bacterial small subunit ribosomal RNA", at positions 524 to 776 of the family's 1533-position model. The record is from RNAcentral.